RNAcentral lists this ribosomal RNA (579 nucleotides) under uncultured bacterium. RNAcentral describes it as "partial 16S ribosomal RNA". It matches the Rfam family "Bacterial small subunit ribosomal RNA", at positions 355 to 932 of the family's 1533-position model. The record is from RNAcentral.
UGGGGAAUUUUGGACAAUGGGCGAAAGCCUGAUCCAGCAAUGCCGCGUGUGUGAAGAAGGCCUUCGGGUUGUAAAGCACUUUUGUCCGGAAAGAAAUCCUUGGCUCUAAUACAGUCGGGGGACGACGGUACCGGAAGAAUAAGCGCCGGCUAACUACGUGCCAGCAGCCGCGGUAAUACGUAGGGUGCAAGCGUUAAUCGGAAUUACUGGGCGUAAAGCGUGCGCAGGCGGUUUGCUAAGACCGAUGUGAAAUCCCCGGGCUCAACCUGGGAACUGCAUUGGUGACUGGCAGGCUAGAGUAUGGCAGAGGGGGGUAGAAUUCCACGUGUAGCAGUGAAAUGCGUAGAGAUGUGGAGGAAUACCGAUGGCGAAGGCAGCCCCCUGGGCCAAUACUGACGCUCAUGCACGAAAGCGUGGGGAGCAAACAGGAUUAGAUACCCUGGUAGUCCACGCCCUAAACGAUGUCAACUAGUUGUUGGGGAUUCAUUUCCUUAGUAACGUAGCUAACGCGUGAAGUUGACCGCCUGGGGAGUACGGUCGCAAGAUUAAAACUCAAAGGAAUUGACGGGGUCAUAGCUG